Molecule: ribosomal RNA, 116 nt
Filed under: Microcebus murinus (gray mouse lemur)
Lineage: Eukaryota; Metazoa; Chordata; Mammalia; Primates; Cheirogaleidae
Source: RNAcentral
GUCUACAGCCAUACCACCCUGAACACGCCCGAUCUCAUCUGAUCUCGGAAGCUAAGCAGGGUGGGGCCUGGUUAGUACUUGGAUGGGAAACUUUGCCAAUUUUGUAGGUGAAAACU